GCGUGUACCCUGCCCCCUCACCGCUCAUGUGCGUCCCUCCCAAAGCUGCGCGCUCAGUGGAAGAGGAUGGCCUUCCCGGAAUAAAGACUGACGGGUCUUUGGUGGAGUGUAUACGAAUAGCUGCGCUCCCCUGCUAGAACCUCCUACUUUACAUGAUAGACAAAAAUCAUUUCAGAGUAGAACAAACACUUUAAGAUAACGGACAAAUCUAUGAACCUCUCAGAAGAAACCAUAACAAUAUAUUUUGUUAUGAUCUAUUUUUAUAU
RNAcentral lists this small RNA (266 nucleotides) under Sorex araneus (European shrew). RNAcentral describes it as "7SK RNA (ENSSARG00000019185.1)". The stretch from base 1 to 233 matches the Rfam family "7SK RNA", at positions 81 to 331 of the family's 331-position model. Rfam says of the family: 7SK was discovered as an abundant small nuclear RNA in the mid-70s but a possible function has only recently been suggested. Two independent studies have found that 7SK RNA binds the CDK9/cyclin T complex (known as elongation factor P-TEFb). P-TEFb activates transcription by phosphorylating the C-terminal domain of RNA polymerase II. The record is from RNAcentral. Lineage: Eukaryota; Metazoa; Chordata; Mammalia; Eulipotyphla; Soricidae.